This 430-nucleotide small RNA is filed under the name Pan troglodytes (chimpanzee). RNAcentral's name for it is "processed transcript". The record is from RNAcentral. Lineage: Eukaryota; Metazoa; Chordata; Mammalia; Primates; Hominidae.
AAGAGAGCAGCAUCUGCCAUAUACAGUGGCUACAUCUUUGACUAUGAUUACUACCGGGACGACUUCUACGACAGGCUCUUCGACUACCGGGGCCGUCUGUCGCCCGUGCCAGUGCCCAGGGCGGUCCCUGUGAAGCGACCCCGGGUCACAGUCCCUUUGGUCCGGCGUGUCAAAACUAACGUACCCGUCAAGCUCUUUGCCCGCUCCACAGCUAUCACCACCAGCUCAGCCAAGAUCAAGUGUGAGUGACUGUAUCAUAUUCCUAAGUAAUUUGCAUUUUUAUCAUUAGCAAAAUAAUAGAAUCACAUUUUUUACAUUGGAACAUAGAUAAAACAACAAGUCUUCCACAGUUCUGCUGCUCUAACACAGCCAAGUAUUUUCAUGCAUUUCUAAGAGGAAACAGCUGAUGUUUUAGGAGGAGGGGUUGGGU